Molecule: ribosomal RNA, 253 nt
Filed under: uncultured bacterium
Lineage: Bacteria
Description: partial 16S ribosomal RNA
Rfam family: Bacterial small subunit ribosomal RNA
Source: RNAcentral
UACGAAGGGGGCUAGCGUUGCUCGGAAUGACUGGGCGUAAAGGGCGCGUAGGCGGCCCCUUUUGUCGCGUGUGAAAGCCCCGGGCUCAACCUGGGAGGUGCGCGCGAAACGGGGGGGCUUGAGUUCGGGAGAGGAGAGUGGAAUUCCCAGUGUAGAGGUGAAAUUCGUAGAUAUUGGGAAGAACACCGGUGGCGAAGGCGGCUCUCUGGACCGAGACUGACGCUGAGGCGCGAAAGCGUGGGGAGCAAACAGG